GCUGGUGUGGCUCAGUGGGUAGAGUGUUGGCCUGUGGGCCCAAGGGUCCCAGGUUCGAUUCCGGUCAAGGGCA
RNAcentral lists this transfer RNA (73 nucleotides) under Myotis davidii. It matches the Rfam family "tRNA". From Rfam's summary of the family: Transfer RNA (tRNA) molecules are approximately 80 nucleotides in length. Their secondary structure includes four short double-helical elements and three loops (D, anti-codon, and T loops). Lineage: Eukaryota; Metazoa; Chordata; Mammalia; Chiroptera; Vespertilionidae. The record is from Rfam by way of RNAcentral.